UACUACUAAAGGAUUAAGGUUCAUCAGUAUUGUAUUGUGCCAAGAGGGAUGCAACUUGUCAAAAUAUUGUUAUGUAUAAUUCACUUAUUUCAUAUUGCAAUUAUGAAAAAGUCAUUCGAAGGUGAGAUUGAGAUUUGAUUCAAAUCAGUUUCACCCAUGUAUGUAUGAUGUUAAGGUUUUAGACAGGAUGUAUGAAGUUCAGGUUUCUGAUAAGAUUUACUAUCUUCAGGAUUUAGAAAGUAUAUAUAUAUAUAUAUAUAUAUACAUGUAUAUGAUGUUUUUUUAUCAGAUAAGAUAAUAUUCCAUCAUUAGUGGAUUUAAAUUCCAAUAAAAAAAUAUGAUAGAACUUAAUGUUUUAAGAAGUCAAACUCUACGCAAUUUGAUAAAGGGGCUUUUUUUCCCCUAAUGUUAUAAUUGUGGACUGUUUAUAUUUCAAAAUGCAGUUAUUAAAAUGGCU
RNAcentral lists this long non-coding RNA (457 nucleotides) under Mytilus galloprovincialis (Mediterranean mussel). The record is from RNAcentral. Lineage: Eukaryota; Metazoa; Mollusca; Bivalvia; Mytilida; Mytilidae.